UGCCAGCAGCCGCGGUAAUACGGAGGGUGCAAGCGUUGUCCGGAUUUAUUGGGUUUAAAGGGUCCGUAGGCGGAAUUGUAAGUCAGUGGUGAAAGCCCACAGCUCAACUGUGGAACUGCCAUUGAUACUGCUUUUCUUGAAUAUAGUUGAAGUGAACGGAAUGUAACAUGUAGCGGUGAAAUGCAUAGAUAUGUUACAGAACACCAAUUGCGAAGGCAGUUCACUAAGCUAUUAUUGACGCUAAGGGACGAAAGCGUGGGUAGCGAACAGGAUUAGAUA
This 279-nucleotide ribosomal RNA is filed under the name uncultured bacterium. RNAcentral's name for it is "partial 16S ribosomal RNA". It matches the Rfam family "Bacterial small subunit ribosomal RNA", at positions 506 to 784 of the family's 1533-position model. The record is from RNAcentral.